Molecule: ribosomal RNA, 853 nt
Filed under: Eudiaptomus environmental sample
Lineage: Eukaryota; Metazoa; Arthropoda; Copepoda; Calanoida; Diaptomidae
Description: SSU rRNA
Rfam family: Eukaryotic small subunit ribosomal RNA
Source: RNAcentral
GCUCGUAGUUGGAUCUCGGCGGACAGAAGUCGGUCCGAAUGCUUUCGGUACUGGCUUGUUUGUCCGUGUGUUUUGCCAGAGGCAGGCGGGUGCUCUUCGCCGAGUGUCCGUCUGUACUGCAGGUUUACUUUGAAAAAAUUAGAGUGCUCAAAGCAAGCUCUCACGCUUGAAUAUUCGUGCAUGGAAUAAUAGAAUAGGAUGUCGUUUCUAUUUUGUUGGUUUUCGGAAAUCGACAUAAUGAUUAAUAGGGACAGUCGGGGGCAUUUGUAUUCAAACGACAGAGGUGAAAUUCUUGGACCGUUUGAAGACAAACUACUGCGAAAGCAUUUGCCAAGAAUGUUUUCAUUAAUCAAGAACGAAAGUUAGAGGUUCGAAGGCGAUUAGAUACCGCCCUAGUUCUAACCAUAAACGAUGCCAGCUAGCGAUCUGCAGGCGUUUUACUUUACGACCUUGCAGGGAGCUUCCGGGAAACCAAAGCUUGUGGGUUCCAGGGGAAGUAUGGUUGCAAAGCUGAAACUUAAAGGAAUUGACGGAAGGGCACCACCAGGAGUGGAGCCUGUGGCUUAAUUUGACUCAACACGGGAAAUCUCACCAGGCCCGGACACGAGAAGGAUUGACAGAUUGAUAGCUCUUUCUUGAUUUCGUGGGUGGUGGUGCAUGGCCGUUCUUAGUUGGUGGAGUGAUUUGUCUGGUUAAUUCCGAUAACGAACGAGACUCUGUCCUGCUAACUAGUGUCUGCUUCUUUUCUGAGCAGAUUAUUCUUCUUAGAGGGACUGGUAGCUCUUAGCUAUACGAGAUUGAGCAAUAACAGGUCUGUGAUGCUCUUAGAUGUUCUGGGCUGCACACGCGCUAC